UACGUAGGGACCGAGCGUUGUCCGGAUUCAUUGGGCGUAAAGAGCGUGUAGGCGGCCAGGUAGGUCGGUUGUGAAAACUCGAGGCUCAACCUCGAGAUGUCGACCGAAACCAUCUGGCUAGAGUCCGGAAGAGGAGAAUGGAAUUCCCGGUGUAGCGGUGAAAUGCGCAGAUAUCGGGAAGAACACCGAUGGCGAAGGCAGUUCUCUGGGACGGUACUGACGCUGAGACGCGAAAGCGUGGGGAGCGAACAGG
This 253-nucleotide ribosomal RNA is filed under the name uncultured bacterium. RNAcentral's name for it is "partial 16S ribosomal RNA". It matches the Rfam family "Bacterial small subunit ribosomal RNA", at positions 524 to 776 of the family's 1533-position model. The record is from RNAcentral.